This is a small nuclear RNA of Urocitellus parryii (Arctic ground squirrel), 105 nucleotides long. NCBI's taxonomy places the organism in Eukaryota, Metazoa, Chordata, Mammalia, Rodentia, Sciuridae. The record is from Ensembl.
GUGGUCUUUGGCAGCACACACCACCAAAUUGGAAUCACACUGAGAAGAGUAGCGUGGCCCCUGCGCCAGGGUGACAGUCUGUGACAGUCUGUGAAGCAUCCCAGU